This 63-nucleotide transfer RNA is filed under the name Marmota marmota marmota (Alpine marmot). It matches the Rfam family "tRNA", at positions 5 to 66 of the family's 71-position model. Rfam says of the family: Transfer RNA (tRNA) molecules are approximately 80 nucleotides in length. RNAcentral also lists the same sequence under 2 other names. Lineage: Eukaryota; Metazoa; Chordata; Mammalia; Rodentia; Sciuridae. The record is from Rfam by way of RNAcentral.
GUGUGGCUCAGUGAUAGAGCUCUUGCCUAGCAUGCACAAGACCCUGGGUUCAAUCCCCAGCAC